This 253-nucleotide ribosomal RNA is filed under the name uncultured bacterium. RNAcentral describes it as "partial 16S ribosomal RNA". It matches the Rfam family "Bacterial small subunit ribosomal RNA", at positions 524 to 776 of the family's 1533-position model. The record is from RNAcentral.
UACGGAGGAUGCAAGCGUUAUCCGGAUUCAUUGGGUUUAAAGGGUGCGCAGGCGGAGUAAUAAGUCAGUGGUGAAAACCUGCAGCUUAACUGUGGAACUGCCAUUGAUACUGUUAUUCUUGAGUGUGGUCAAGGUAGGCGGAAUGUGUAAUGUAGCGGUGAAAUGCUUAGAUAUUACACAGAACACCAAUUGCGAAGGCAGCUUACUGGACCAUUACUGACGCUGAUGCACGAAAGCGUGGGGAUCAAACAGG